CCGGAAGUCAACUAAAUAUUUUCGAAUUGAAGCCAGAUCGUUUUAAAACAAAACGAUACGCUAUGAAACAACUAGGUGUCUGAUUUGUUCGUUGUCUACCUACUUUCGCCCUUGUUUCGAAGACUAACAAUGUUGUUUGGUAGUAGUUCGCUGCGGUUUUCUCCCCUCCAGCCUCUGUCAGCUGAUAGCAAUGAUGUGUAUAGUAUGAAGCGUUACACAUGAGACGUUGGUAUAUGAGGGACUGUGAAAAGACUGGUGGCCCUGGUGGCAUGUCUGGUGGGCUCUCAACCACACAGCUG
Molecule: long non-coding RNA, 299 nt
Organism: Oncorhynchus gorbuscha (pink salmon)
Lineage: Eukaryota; Metazoa; Chordata; Actinopteri; Salmoniformes; Salmonidae
Exons: 3
Source: RefSeq, a predicted model, not a curated record